GCGCCCGUGACGCGCGGGGCGCAGCGGGGCAGAGCCGGCUCCAGAGGCGCGGCGGCCGCGGGAGGAGCAGGCGCGGAGCAUCGAGCGCAGGCCGCGCCGGCCCGACGGGAGCUGCGCCGGGCGCGGGCCGCCUCCUCCGAGCCGCCUGCGCGCGGGCCGAGACCCUUGGCCGCCGCCGGCGGGGCAUGAGCGCGGAGGGGCCGCGGCCGCCCCCCGCGCCGCCCAGGCCGUGACCGGGCGGGGGGCGGCUGCGCUAGCGCCCGCAGCCCAGGGGCUCGCGGAGCCGGGAGCGAUAAUCAUGGACUGCAGCCUAUUGAGGACGCUCGUGCGCAGAUACUGUGCAGGGGAAGAGAACUGGGUGGACAGUCGGACCAUCUACGUGGGACACAAGGAGCCCCCUCCGGGUGCAGAGGCCUACAUUCCACAGAGAUACCCCGACAAUAGAAUCGUCUCCUCCAAGUACACAUUCUGGAACUUCAUACCCAAGAACUUAUUUGAACAGUUCAGAAGAAUAGCCAACUUUUAUUUCCUCAUCAUCUUCCUGGUACAGUUGAUCAUCGACACACCCACAAGUCCAGUGACAAGCGGGCUCCCACUCUUCUUCGUCAUCACAGUCACGGCCAUCAAGCAGGGCUAUGAAGACUGGCUUCGCCACAAGGCCGACAAUGCCAUGAACCAGUGUCCUGUGCACUUCAUCCAGCAUGGCAAGCUAGUCCGCAAGCAGAGUCGGAAGCUGAGGGUUGGGGACAUUGUCAUGGUGAAGGAAGAUGAGACCUUUCCCUGUGACCUGAUAUUUCUCUCCAGCAACCGGGCAGAUGGGACAUGCCAUGUCACUACAGCCAGCUUAGACGGAGAGUCGAGCCAUAAAACUCACUACGCAGUGCAGGAUACCAAGGGCUUCCACACAGAGGCAGAUGUUGACAGCUUGCACGCCACAAUCGAGUGUGAACAGCCACAGCCUGACCUCUACAAGUUUGUGGGGCGCAUCAAUGUUUACAACGACAUGAACGACCCUGUGGUGAGGCCUUUGGGAUCAGAAAACCUGCUUCUCAGAGGAGCUACACUCAAAAACACAGAGAAGAUCUUUGGUGUGGCCAUCUACACAGGCAUGGAGACCAAGAUGGCCCUGAACUAUCAGUCCAAGUCCCAAAAGAGAUCUGCUGUGGAAAAGUCAAUGAACACAUUCCUGAUCGUGUACCUCUGCAUCCUGGUGAGCAAAGCCCUGAUCAACACGGUGCUGAAGUACGUGUGGCAGAGUGAGCCCUUCCGAGAUGAACCAUGGUACAAUGAGAAGACCGAAUCCGAGCGCCAGAGGAAUUUGUUCCUCAGGGCCUUCACUGACUUCCUAGCCUUCAUGGUCCUCUUCAAUUACAUCAUCCCCGUAUCCAUGUACGUCACCGUGGAGAUGCAGAAGUUCCUUGGCUCCUACUUCAUCACCUGGGAUGAAGACAUGUUUGAUGAGGAAAUGGGGGAAGGGCCUCUGGUCAACACAUCUGAUCUAAAUGAGGAGUUGGGACAGGUGGAAUACAUCUUCACUGACAAGACGGGCACCCUUACAGAGAACAACAUGGCCUUUAAGGAGUGCUGCAUCGAGGGCCACGUCUAUGUACCCCAUGUCAUCUGCAAUGGGCAGGUCCUUCCCGACUCUUCUGGCAUUGACAUGAUCGAUUCUUCCCCCGGAGUCUGUGGAAGGGAACGGGAGGAGCUGUUUUUCAGGGCUAUCUGCCUAUGCCACACUGUCCAAGUGAAAGAUGACCAUUGUGGGGAUGAUGUCGAUGGUCCCCAGAAAUCUCCAGAUGCAAAGUCCUGUGUGUACAUAUCAUCCUCGCCUGAUGAGGUUGCACUGGUCGAAGGUGUGCAACGGCUUGGAUUCACGUACCUGAGGCUGAAGGACAAUUACAUGGAAAUACUGAACAGGGAGAAUGACAUAGAGAGAUUUGAAUUGCUAGAAGUGCUGACCUUUGAUUCUGUGCGGAGAAGAAUGAGCGUGAUUGUAAAGUCUACCACAGGAGAAAUUUAUCUGUUUUGCAAAGGAGCAGAUUCUUCAAUAUUUCCCCGAGUGAUAGAAGGCAAAGUAGACCAGGUCCGGUCUAGAGUGGAGCGCAAUGCCGUGGAAGGGCUGCGAACCCUGUGUGUUGCAUACAAGAGGCUCGAACCAGAGCAGUAUGAAGAUGCUUGCCGACUGCUACAGAGUGCCAAAGUGGCGCUUCAGGACCGGGAGAAGAAGCUGGCAGAAGCCUAUGAGCAGAUAGAGAACGACCUUGUUCUGCUUGGUGCUACGGCUGUUGAGGACCGGCUCCAGGAGAAAGCUGCUGACACAAUAGAGGCACUACAGAAGGCAGGUAUCAAGGUCUGGGUGCUCACCGGGGACAAGAUGGAGACAGCCUCCGCCACUUGCUAUGCCUGCAAGCUGUUCCGCAGGAGCACACAGCUGCUGGAGCUGACCACCAAGAAGCUAGAGGAGCAAAGCCUGCAUGAUGUGCUCUUCGACCUGAGCAAGACAGUGCUGCGCUGCAGCGGGAGCCUGACCAGGGACUCCUUCUCGGGGCUCUCCACAGAUAUGCACGACUAUGGUUUAAUCAUCGAUGGAGCGGCGCUGUCCUUGAUAAUGAAGCCGAGAGAGGACGGGAGCUCCUCGGGCAACUACCGAGAGCUCUUCCUGGAGAUCUGCAGAAACUGCAGCGCUGUGCUGUGCUGCCGGAUGGCACCCUUGCAGAAGGCCCAGAUCGUUAAGUUAAUCAAAUUUUCAAAGGAGCAUCCGAUUACCUUAGCAAUUGGUGAUGGUGCCAAUGAUGUCAGUAUGAUCCUGGAGGCCCACGUGGGCAUAGGUGUCAUCGGGAAAGAGGGUCGCCAGGCUGCAAGGAACAGUGACUAUGCAAUACCCAAGUUUAAACACUUGAAGAAGAUGCUUCUUGUUCAUGGGCAUUUUUAUUAUAUCAGGAUAUCUGAGCUUGUGCAAUACUUCUUUUAUAAGAAUGUCUGCUUCAUUUUCCCUCAGUUUUUGUACCAGUUCUUCUGCGGAUUUUCACAGCAGACUUUGUACGACACUGCGUAUCUGACUCUCUACAACAUCAGCUUCACUUCCCUCCCGAUUCUCCUGUACAGCCUCAUGGAGCAGCACGUGGGCAUUGACGUGCUUAAGAGAGACCCAGCCCUCUACAGAGACAUUGCCAAGAAUGCGCUGCUGCGCUGGCGGGUGUUCAUUUACUGGACGUUUCUCGGCGUUUUUGACGCUUUGGUAUUUUUCUUUGGUGCUUAUUUCAUAUUUGAGAACACAACCGUGACCAUCAAUGGACAGAUGUUUGGGAACUGGACCUUCGGGACGCUGGUGUUCACUGUGAUGGUGCUCACUGUCACACUGAAGCUCGCACUGGACACACACUACUGGACUUGGAUCAACCACUUUGUCAUCUGGGGGUCCCUGCUCUUCUACAUUGCCUUCUCCCUGCUCUGGGGAGGGGUUAUCUGGCCGUUCCUCAGUUACCAGCGGAUGUACUAUGUGUUUAUAUCCAUGCUGUCCAGUGGGCCUGCCUGGCUGGGUAUCAUACUGCUUGUAACGGUCGGCCUCCUCCCUGACGUCCUCAAGAAGGUCCUGUGCAGGCAGCUGUGGCCCACGGCAACGGAGAAAACUCAGGCCAGGAACAAGUGCCUUUCUGUUGAGCAGCCCACCGUCUUUAUGCUUUCCCAGACCGCCAGUAGUCUGAGUUUCUGACCAACAGGUGACCAUCUCUGCCUUCUUGCAUGUUGGGGUGAUGGCCACAGGACCAGGUGGAAAGAACUUAGUGUUGAGGCCGCCCACCACACUCUGGUAUUGUCAGUCACCACCACUACCUCAUCAGAACAUACAACAUCGGGACAGCAUUUCAGAAUUCACCCCUCUGGCCUCUUUGCAGAGAUGGGGUGCUCAGGGCAGCAGACUCUUGGCUGCCCAAGGCAGCUCCCCCUCUGGGAGAGUUGUGUGCUCCAGGUGGGAGAGCGAAGAGUGCCCAGUGCUCCCUCCUCACCCAGGCCUUCCCUACAAGGCGAGGUAUGGGUGCUGUAGGUCCAGCCUGGAGACGCCCACUUGAUAGACAGACAGCCCCUCUGCCCCAGCCUCUGAGAGCUCUGUUCUUGGGUACCUGUGUGUGCCUGCACCUGUUCCACCCUUCAUCCUCAGGGAGGGGAGGGUGGGAUCACAGGUCACCCACUCAGGCACAGCACACUGCAAUCCGGACUGUGCGUGGCCGGCGUCAUUGUCCCAGGCCUGGUGACCAUACAUCCAGUUGGACUCUGGAAAAGGACAUUAAGCCUGGCCUCAUCUUAAGCACUGUGGCUUGAAGCUGGCCUUGCCCCUGAGUGUCCACCCUGCUGCUGUCGUUACCUCUGCUGUCUCUUGAGAAGAAGAUCCUAUUCCUUUGUCUGCAGAAGCGUGCGUAGCACAUGGCGCUCGGCUCAUAUUGUAUCCCGAUGUUCCUGCCCGCGUGUUACCUGUGUGAACUGUACACACUUCCCCCGUCAGACACCGAGGGGUGUGUGUCUCCUGGACCUGUGGCCGUACUGUGCUCAUGUUCGCUGUCCCCUCACAAAGCCAUCUUCCUAGAUCAUGUCUGAGUCAGUUUGCUGAGAUACUGACCCUACACGUUGGAGCCUUCCAUGUCAGCGUCCCUGUCCUGUCCCCGGCUGCCUGUGGAAGAUGACGUUUAUGUAUGCGAAUAAGUCACACUGUUAGCCAAGUCUCUCAGGAGUGUAGUGAUAGCCGCCACACUCUGGAAUGAUGUCAGCUAAACAUAUUGGAAAACAUUUGUUUCAAGGGUGUGGGGAAAGGGGGAGGUUUGGGGUGCCCAGGCAGGUGUUUUAUCUUACCCAGAGGUGAGUCCCAAUACCCACGUUGUCUGGGGCUGCUGGUUUCAUCCGCUCUAGUCUGCUGCUCUGGCUGCCACCUCCUGGUGCCACACAGAUCACGUCCAGGGCUUCACUUGGAGUGGCCAGGCCAUCAGAAGCCCACUGAACUGUGAACCUCCGCUGCUGCCCGCACUGGCAUUUCUGUUUUCAGCAAUGCUCCCAACAGCGCUGUAAUGGGCCUGACUCAGAAGAAGGUUUGUAGUGUGAUGUAGCCUUUCAGAAAGUACCAGGCAGAGCCUGGGAGAAAGUCAGCCCCNUCCGUCCGUCCGUCCGUCCCUGUGGAGUUGUAUGGUGGGCCUGGAGCCAUGGUGAGGGUCUCUGGCACUUGAGAGCCUGUAUUCUGGGAAGCACAAAUUUUAUAACACGAUUACGAUUACACAAGGUUUCCCUAUAAACCGUGUGCUUGAACUGGGGACCAGCCGACAGUAGGUGCAGUUACUGUACCUGGCAGUUGGGGGAGGUUGGGCAACACCACACCAAAGAUGGGGAAUGGGUUGGCCUUGAGCUUGGAACAGACAGGGGAUGACCAGCUCUGCUGAGGGCUGUCUGUGCCUCCACACACCCUCAUGCCCAUUCACCCACCUGUGUCGUCAUGUGUCAGAGGAUUGGCGCCCCAGUCCACACUGGCCCUUAAUUAGUAGUGUGUGCAUUUUUACAGCCCCUUUUUAAGAACCCAGACGGGUAUAAAUAUAAUACCUGUGGGGAGGGGCAGGUUCUCUCUGUGUUUAGUUAACAGAUUAUUUGUAAUGUAUUUUUUUAGGGAAUCUUAAAAUUACCUUUGCACUAAAGUAUUUUCAUAGCUGUUUCUAUAUCUUACUCAUUUGUUGAUGCAUCUUCUGAUUUUUAAAUAUGUUUUUAAAGCUUUCACAUUUUAAGUUGAAGAACUUUGGCCACUUAAAUGCUGGUGAGCAUUUCGGCUGAAUGUCUCAGUGUCUGGCAGCGACCUCUCUGAUUCUCCUCUGUGCCUCUCUCUUUCUUGAUGUUUUCAGAGACUGACCAGCUGAGGCAUGCUGAGGCCGCACACCAUCUCCUCUGCUUGCUCUGUCACAGUCCUCUGUCGCUUCAUGGUUUCUGUUUUGUUUUUGUUUUUUAUUUCCAUCCUUCAGCCUUAAACACCUAAACAACAUCCCUCCUGCAGGGUUGAUCCUGCAGCCCUCGCUGGGCGUGGGAACACACUCCUGCACCCCACCCCACCCCCGUAGCUGAAGUUUACGUGGGAACAUCCCAGACCGAAUGCACACUCCAGUGUCCUUUAAAAUUGUGCUUAGGAAACUACCAAAUGAAGUUGCCUGAGAAUUUGAAAGAGACAAGGGCACAGGUGAAAUGCAGAGGCAGAGACCAAACACACGUGCAGAAGGCCGUCCACCUCACCUCACAGCGGUUGCGUUGGCUUUCCUUAAAGCAAGGAACUUCAACCCAAGCAUCUUCUUAAUUCAGUUGCACAAAUGAGCAUCAGUGGCUUCCUACAUUGGCCCAGAUUCAUGGCCCCGCUCCCUAUAAAUAGUUCAUCUCCUGUAUGUUCCAGGAGCCCUGACUGCAUGUGUGUUCUCUUACUUUGUGCUCCACACACACUCAUGCCAUGUACACAUACAUGAACACACAUUUGCAUUCUUCAAGACCAUGUACCAGCCUGCUUUCUGACAGCCCUGUGCAGAGAUGUUGCCCUCUGGAACAUCAGGCUACUUACACACACAUGCACACAGGCACACACACUAGGAAGGGCACUUGGGCUGUGUGAGUGCACGCUGUGCUGGACUGAGCUCUCCCCUCCCAGGGAAGCAUACCUCCCAGUCAAGACCUCCCCUUGCUCCCUCAGUCCAGCAGGCAGGACCCAGGCUAACCAAAGCUGCAUGCUGUCAAGGCGCCUGCCCCCUGCCACAUGCCAGCUAGGGUAACAUCCUCCAUCCCAGCGAUCCAUUCCUGAGUACAAGCAGACCAAAGGCCCCAUGCAGGGGGAUGGCACAGCCAGAGCUGGAACAGGGUAACUUUUGGGUGUUCCUACUGAGCACAUUUCCCAGGAUCAGCGGCUGAAUGUGUGCCGUCAUAGCCACCCAGGUCGCUGAGCAUCACCCAGGUGUCAUGCCCCAGCCUGGCCUCUGAAACCCCAAGUUCAAGGCAUAUCUGCACUGACUGGUACUGGACUCACCCAUCCAUUUAUUUCAUUUUAAUGUAGUUUAUUGGCAAUACCAUAGAACAGCAGGCCCUUGCAUUCUGCAUUUCUUUUGGAAGUUACCCAUUCAUGAUUACAAACAGGGAAACGUCACUUGGUGAAUGCAAUCUUUCUGUUUUAAAACCUAGAAGAUGGGUGAAUGGAAAGGGGAGAGGUUCUGAUACUGUGUCUGAACAAAGCUUUAAUGAAGAUAUGUGUGUUGGAAGUAUUAUGAAAGUGCGAUUCUAAUUUUGCAGAAAAAAAUGUCUAUCAAUUUAUAUAGCUUUAUUUUUUACCUUAUCAAGAGAUAGAGAAUUUUAAUAUGCAUAUAUUGUCUGACUUAGAAUCAUGUGUGUCUGCAUUGCCACUUAAAAUGUCCAUCUGCUAUGUCAUGUAUGAAUAAGAGAGAAUCAAAGAUGUAUCUAACGUGAAUGGUUAUCUGUAGCUGUCAUUGUCAUAAGAACUGGGAUUUAUUUUAAAUUAUCAAAUAUAGUAAGUACAUUAAACAUGUCAUUCUCCAACACUAA
Mus pahari (shrew mouse) is the source of this 7557-nucleotide RNA transcript. It is a transcript of the gene named ATPase phospholipid transporting 11A, with no coding region annotated. The transcript has 30 exons. NCBI's taxonomy places the organism in Eukaryota, Metazoa, Chordata, Mammalia, Rodentia, Muridae. The record is from RefSeq and is a predicted model, not a curated record.